AACGUAGGAGACAAACGUUAUCCGGAGUUACUGGGCGUAAAGGGCGUGUAGGUGGUAGUGUAAGUCUGGCGUGAAAUUUUUCGGCUUAACCGGGAAAGGUCGUCGGAUACUGCACAACUAGAGGACGGUAGAGGCGUGUGGAAUUCCGGGUGUAGAGGUGAAAUUCGUAGAUAUUCGGCGGAACACCAGUGGCGAAGGCGACUCACUGGCCCGAAACUGACGCUGAGGCGCGAAAGCGUGGGGAGCAAACAGG
This 253-nucleotide ribosomal RNA is filed under the name uncultured bacterium. RNAcentral describes it as "partial 16S ribosomal RNA". It matches the Rfam family "Bacterial small subunit ribosomal RNA", at positions 524 to 776 of the family's 1533-position model. The record is from RNAcentral.